This 567-nucleotide ribosomal RNA is filed under the name Coriobacteriaceae bacterium. RNAcentral's name for it is "bacterial SSU rRNA". It matches the Rfam family "Bacterial small subunit ribosomal RNA", at positions 1 to 573 of the family's 1533-position model. Lineage: Bacteria; Bacillati; Actinomycetota; Coriobacteriia; Coriobacteriales; Coriobacteriaceae. The record is from RNAcentral.
AUUUGAACGGAGAGUUCGAUCCUGGCUCAGGAUGAACGCUGGCGGCGCGCCUAACACAUGCAAGUCGAACGGUUAAGGCGCCCUUCGGGGCGCGGAUAGAGUGGCGAACGGCUGAGUAACACGUGGGCAACCUGCCCCCCGCACCGGGACAGCCUCGGGAAACCGUGGGUAAUACCGGGUACUCCGCCACCCCCGCAUGGGGGAGGCGGGAGAGCGUAUGCGGCGGGGGAUGGGCCCGCGGCCUGUUAGCUAGUUGGCGGGGCAACGGCCCACCAAGGCGAUUAUGGGUAGCUGGGUUGAGAGACCGACCAGCCAGAUUGGGACUGAGACACGGCCCAGACUCCUACGGGAGGCAGCAGUGGGGAAUCUUGCGCAAUGGGGGCAACCCUGACGCAGCGACGCCGCGUGCGGGACGAAGGCCUUCGGGUCGUAAACCGCUUUCAGCAGGGACGAGGCCGAAAGGUGACGGUACCUGCAGAAGAAGCCCCGGCUAACUACGUGCCAGCAGCCGCGGUAAUACGUAGGGGGCGAGCGUUAUCCGGAUUCAUUGGGCGUAAAGCGCGCGUA